Molecule: long non-coding RNA, 1212 nt
Organism: Odontomachus brunneus
Lineage: Eukaryota; Metazoa; Arthropoda; Insecta; Hymenoptera; Formicidae
Exons: 2
Source: RefSeq, a predicted model, not a curated record
CGAUUUAUCAGAGCCGUCGGAAUCGAUCGUCGCUGUUGUACUCCCGCAGCAGCCUCACUCUCGUCGGAUUAUUUUCUUCCGCCGGCGAGACUCACGCGUACGAAUUCGAUCUGGCCUGUUCCGAAAGCGUCUUCCGAUCCCGUUUUUUUCUGAUCUUCUCUUUCUCUUCUUCAUCUUCUUCUUCUCCUCUCUCUCUCUCUCUCUCUCUCUCUCUGAUUCAUGUACUUACUUAUUUGUGUACAAACAGAUUCUUGUUGGCAGAUCGCCAGGGGCGCGCAAAUUAAAAUCGCACGGUACGCGGAAAGCGACGAGAGAAGUUACUUUACCGUGAUUGUGAAAGUGUAUCGAUAGAACGACAGGGACGAGGAGGAGGAGGAAGGAGAAGAAGAAGACGACAACGACGACGACGACGAUCGUCGUCGCGAUCUGGGUUAUCGUGUCAGCUUUUCAGCCGGGCCGAACGACAAACACAGCGGAUGUGAAACUCCAUGCAGCUAAAACAUGGAUCUCACAGAUGGCGGUUCUAUCUUUCGUGUGGAAAAUUCUGAACGCGAAGACCCUUUUCUCGGACACGGCGAACACGUCAUCAUCAUCUUCGGUCUCACUCUCGCAGCGAGGGUGGGCGAAGUCGAAGUAACAAUCUACGCUGAAGAGAAUUCGUUUCGCCUACGGCUGACGUCGAGAAACUGCGCAAAAGUCGCGAAUUGCGAAAAUCGAGAUUUUGCGAGGACCAACGUCGGUCGUCCUCCCCCCUCUCUCUUUCUCUCUCCCUUGCCGAUUUGCCUCACUGAACGUUCAGAUUAUUUGCGUUCAAAGUGUUGAAACAAUAUUCCGCCAGAUAUUCGAUCUAACGCAGAUCAGUAAAUAAAUUAAAUAAAAAAAAAGACUUUACUUGAACCUCCUCAACCGCAGCGAUUGAUCACGUAUUUUCGCUCACGUUACUUUGUUUAUCGUGUAAUAAUCAUUAUCUCACUAUUUCUAAGUUGUAUUCUUUCUAUCUUAACUGUUUAAUUUUCGUGAUCCAGUCGUAGGUUUCGUUUGGUUUCGAUUUAGAUCUAGUCUUAAUUUACCUUCGAGUGAUCACAUCAAAAUUCUUUACAAGCAUGUCACAUUAAUUAUAUAACUGUUCUCUUUUCUUUUUGUAAUCGAUGUAUACUGUUGAGUAAGCGUCUGAAGGAACUUCGUUUCACAAAUAAACUUAUUUCUCGCUUU